CAGUGACCAGUAUAUUAACCAAUUCAGAUAAGUUGCAAUCCAAUUUGUGCAUAUGGUAGUUUAUAAUAAAAUGUCCAAACGAACUGAUCAGGAAUUGGAGGACCAAAUUGACCUUUAAUUCUCUCUGCAUAUUAAGCUCGAGCUUCUCAAGCUCCUUAAAGUCUUUGAUCAUUAUCAUACAAUGAUCGUGGACUGACUACCAAUCG
Molecule: long non-coding RNA, 206 nt
Filed under: Elaeis guineensis (African oil palm)
Lineage: Eukaryota; Viridiplantae; Streptophyta; Magnoliopsida; Arecales; Arecaceae
Description: long non-coding RNA (EGUI_LNC014086)
Source: RNAcentral